Molecule: long non-coding RNA, 961 nt
Organism: Mastomys coucha (southern multimammate mouse)
Lineage: Eukaryota; Metazoa; Chordata; Mammalia; Rodentia; Muridae
Exons: 7
Source: RefSeq, a predicted model, not a curated record
ACAGAAUGCUAACAAUAUCUAGCAGCUUCCAGGAAGUAUGCCUGAAGGCAUCUAAGUGUUACCACACAAAAGAAAAUUAAGCUAAGAAACACCCAUUCACAGGGGUAACAGCACAGGGUGCUGGAAUAUAGACUCUGCCUGGAAGAAAGGAGUUACCCAGAAGUUCUUAAUUAGUUGCUCCAUAAACCUGACAUUGUGGAGGGAUAUCCUGAAUCUGAGGCUGUCAAGUUAUUCUGAGGCAAAGUCAGUGGGUCACUUGGUCCCACUCUCCCCACUGUGAAGCACCAAACCUUGUCCUUCAGUCCCCUUUUUAACCCAGAGAGGGAGGCUAUGCAGUUUAUUCAAGAAACUUCAACUAAUGGAGAUCUCUGAGCUUCACUGAAGACCCAAUUAAGGUGGAUGUGAAGGAACAGGAGCCCAACCAUACUCUAGGGGGAAACUGGAACUGAGGAGCACCCUAUACAAGGCUCUGGAGGACUUCCUGAGGGGACAGCUAUGGAAAUUUCCAGGGGAAGAAGCCACUCCUCAGCACCAUAGGACUCUUCUCUGUGACCUUCUGCACCGAUGGAACACUUCUGACCCAGAAGCAUAUGGACAGCACAAAUUGGAGGACACAGAGCCUGUGGUGCAAAGGUGAGAUGGCUCUGUGAAGAGGAAUUAAAAGAAGGAGUUGAAGGUGACUGCCUCCGGGAAGCAAAAUUGGACUGCCUCCAAAUAUGGAGGUCGCAGACACUGAGGAUGCCAAACUAAUCUCCUUUCAUGGUUAAGCUUUCCUUUUAUGGCUACAUUAAAUACUCCAUAACUGACCUACACAUUUCCUGCCAUCUGGUCCCUGCCUCCACAUUGGUCUUUACCUCAGCCCCAGCCAAUGAUGUCCACUCAACUGAAAACCCACCCACCCACGCACCAAGGUCUAUGUAGCCCUAUUCACCUCUAAUAAACAGAGUUGUUUCACUGAAAA